AGCAGCCGCGGUAAUUCCAGCUCCAAUAGCGUAUAUUAAAGUUGUUGCAGUUAAAAAGCUCGUAGUUGAAUUUCGGGGUCAGCAAGUUGGUCGUGCCACCGGUAUGCACUGGCUUUGCUGAUUCCUCCUUCUUGUAGAACCGUAAUGCCAUUAAUUUGGUGUUGCGGGGAAACAGGACUGUUACUUUGAAAAAAUUAGAGUGUUUAAAGCAGGCUAACGCUUGAAUACAUUAGCAUGGAAUAAUGAAAUAGGACGACGAUCCUAUUUUGUUGGUUUCUAGGAUUGACGUAAUGAUUAAUAGGGAUAGUUGGGGGCAUUAGUAUUCAAUUGUCAGAGGUGAAAUUCUUGGAUUUAUUGAAGACUAACUACUGCGAAAGCAUUUGCCAAGGAUGUUUUCAUUAAUCAAGAACGAAAGUUAGGGGAUCGAAGACGAUCAGAUACCGUCGUAGUCUUAACCAUAAACUAUGCCGACUAGGGAUCGGAUGAUGUUAAUUUUAUAAUGACUCAUUCGGCGCCUUAA
RNAcentral lists this ribosomal RNA (520 nucleotides) under uncultured Glomus. Its description in RNAcentral is "SSU rRNA". It matches the Rfam family "Eukaryotic small subunit ribosomal RNA", at positions 569 to 1091 of the family's 1831-position model. Lineage: Eukaryota; Fungi; Glomeromycota; Glomeromycetes; Glomerales; Glomeraceae. The record is from RNAcentral.